ACUCCUACGGGAGGCAGCAGUGGGGAAUAUUGGACAAUGGGGGACCCGUAGCUCCAGCCAUGCCGCGUGUGUGAAGAAGGCCUUUUGGUUGUAAAGCACUUUAAGCGAGGAGGAGGCUUACCUGGUUAAUACCCGGGAUAAGUGGACGUUACUCGCAGAAUAAGCACCGGCUAACUCUGUGCCAGCAGCCGCGGUAAUACAGAGGGUGCAAGCGUUAAUCGGAUUUACUGGGCGUAAAGCGCGCGUAGGUGGCUAAUUAAGUCAAAUGUGAAAUCCCCGCGNUUAACUUGGGAAUUUGGCAAUUUCGAUACUGGUUAGCUAGAGUAUGGGAGAGAUGGUAGAAUUCCAGGUGUAGCGGUGAAAUGCGUAGAGAUCUGGAGGAAUACCGAUGGCGAAGGCAGCCAUCUGGCCUAAUACUGACACUGAGGUGCGAAAGCAUGGGGAGCAAACAGGAUUAGAUACCCUGGUAGCUACGAGU
RNAcentral lists this ribosomal RNA (478 nucleotides) under uncultured bacterium. RNAcentral describes it as "bacterial SSU rRNA". It matches the Rfam family "Bacterial small subunit ribosomal RNA", at positions 335 to 800 of the family's 1533-position model. The record is from RNAcentral.